RNAcentral lists this ribosomal RNA (118 nucleotides) under Triticum aestivum (bread wheat). The record is from RNAcentral. Lineage: Eukaryota; Viridiplantae; Streptophyta; Magnoliopsida; Poales; Poaceae.
GGAUGCGAUCAUAUAAGCACUAAAGCACCGGAUCCCAUCAGAACUCUGAACUUAUGCGUGCUUGGUCGAGAGUAGUACUAGGAUGGGUGACCUCUUGGGAAGACCGGGGUAACAUGUC